UUCUAUGUCUACAUAUAGAAAUAUGUGACUUCAUAAAGAUAGAUGUUUUACAGCAACAUCAUUUACAAUAGCAAAAUACUGUAGAAUCCUGGGAGUUCCUUUGUGGUGCAAUGGGUUAAGGACCUGAUGUCACUACAGCAGCUCUGGUCGCUGCUGUAGCAUUGUUUGAUCCCUGAAUCCUAAAUGCUCAUCAGUAGUGGAAUGAUUAAAUUUUGUCAUGCACUUACCAUGCAUUCAUUUAAAAGAAGGUAGUUUUGUAUGUACAGGUCAUAAUAGUUAAGAAUGCAGACUCUGGAUUCCUACUGCCUGGGUUCAAAUCCUACUUCACCACUUCCUGGUUUGUGGCACUUUAGAUAUGUCCUUCAACCAUCCUGUGAAUAAAAAUCCCCACUUUAUAAGAUUAUUGUAAGGAUUAAAUGAACUUAUCCAAGUGAAGCACUUUUUUAUUUUUAUUUUUUUGGCCUCACUUGCAGCAUGUGGAAAUUCCUGGGCCAGGGAAGGAAACUGCAAUGCAGUUGUGGCCUGCACCACAGCUGGGGCAAUGCCAGAUCUUUAACCCACCUGUGCCACAAGGGAAUUUCCUAAAACACUUGCCUGAAAUUGCCUGGCACAAUUAGUAUUAGCUGUUAUCAUUACCUUAUAUAGAAAGACACCUGUGAUACGUUGUUUGGUGAAAAAGUCAAGUUACAUAAUAAUAUGUAUACUAGGAUUCCAUUUUUGUCAAAGCAAAUUUUGUGUGUCUAUACCUAUAUGUAAUUUGCAUGUCUAGGUCUCUGGAAUUUCUAUAUAGGAGGCAUUUAGAAGUUGAUAACUGGUCUUCUCUGGAAGUUAAUAUUGCAACUAACUUUUUUUUUUAAACUUAGAUUCUAUACUUUUGCAGGGUGGUUUUAGGAGACUCUGUUGGAGGUUAUGGGAAGUCAAAGUUUCCUCAAACUAGGCCGUGGUGCAGCCAUUAUACAUCCAUGGAAAUGGUCAGGAAAGGUUGCAGGCACCAAACUGCUAACAGGGAUGAUUUCUAGAGUAGGAUGAGGGGAUGGUGGGUAGGGAGGUGGGGACCUUUCCUUUUCCACUUACUUAUUGUGUUGUUGGCAAAUAGUUACUGUGUAUUGAUUUUGUGUCAACAUCAAAAUGUCCUCAAAAAGAGGGAUUGGUUUACUUCAUGUGCUAUGAAGUCAUUAACAAGAACAGUGGCGGUGGUGCCAUUUUCAGAAUUAAUGGAGGAAUAAUUAUGGGGGAAAAUUCUGAUACAGAAUGUUAUCAUGAGUCUGAACCCCCUUCUCAGUUAUUUUUGGGUCUGUAUAUGCACCUGCACAGAGACAAGGCCUCAGUGAAUAUACACUCACUAUGCCUGUUAACAAAAUAGUUUUCUCUGGGGAAUGGAUGGUUGGAGUGGGAGGAAGACCUUUCACUUUUUUUUGGCCAUGCAGGUGGACUGCAGAAGUUCAACACCUGCCACAGCAGUAA
Molecule: long non-coding RNA, 1464 nt
Filed under: Sus scrofa (pig)
Lineage: Eukaryota; Metazoa; Chordata; Mammalia; Artiodactyla; Suidae
Description: lncRNA (ENSSSCG00000054387.1)
Source: RNAcentral